RNAcentral lists this ribosomal RNA (425 nucleotides) under uncultured bacterium. RNAcentral's name for it is "bacterial SSU rRNA". It matches the Rfam family "Bacterial small subunit ribosomal RNA", at positions 356 to 773 of the family's 1533-position model. The record is from RNAcentral.
GGGGAAUCUUGCGCAAUGCGCGAAAGCGUGACGCAGCAACGCCGCGUGAGGGAAGACGGCCUUCGGGUUGUAAACCUCUUUCAGUUGGGACGAAGCUUUUGCGGUUAAUACCCGUAUGAAGUGACGGUACCUUCAGAAGAAGCCCCGGCUAACUACGUGCCAGCAGCCGCGGUAAUACGUAGGGGGCAAGCGUUGUCCGGAAUCAUUGGGCGUAAAGCGCGUGUAGGCGGCUCAGUAAGUCCGCUCUGAAAGCCCGGGGCUCAACCCCGGGAGGCGGGUGGAUACUGCUGAGCUUGAGUCCGGAAGAGGCGAGUGGAAUUCCCGGUGUAGCGGUGGAAUGCGCAGAUAUCGGGAGGAACACCAAUGGCGAAGGCAGCUCGCUGGGACGUGACUGACGCUGAGACGCGAAAGCGUGGGGAGCAAAC